AACUAGCAACGCCGCGUGUGCAAAGAAGGCCUUCGGGUUGAAAGCACUUUUUGAGAGGAUGAGGAAGGACGGUACUCUCAGAAUAAGUCUCGGCUAACUACGUGCCAGCAGCCGCGGUAACACGUAGGAGGCAAACGUUAUCCGGAUUUACUGGGCGUAAAGCGCGUGUAGGUGGUUUGGUAAGUAGGGCGUGAAAGCUCCUGGCUCAACUGGGAGAGGACGUUCUAAACUGCCAAGCUUGAGGAUGGUAGAGGGAGGUGGAAAUUCCGGGUGUAGCGGUGGAAUGCGCAGAUAUCAGGAGGAACACCGAUGGCGAAGGCAGAUCUCUGGGCCGUAACUGACGCUGAGGAGCGAAAGGGUGGGGAGCAAACAGGCUUAGAUACCCUGGUAGUCCACCCCGUAAACGUUGGGAACUAGUUGUGGGGUCCAUUCCACGGAUUCCGUGACGCAGCUAACGAAUUAGGUUCCCCCGCCUGGGGAGUACGG
RNAcentral lists this ribosomal RNA (486 nucleotides) under uncultured bacterium. RNAcentral describes it as "bacterial SSU rRNA". It matches the Rfam family "Bacterial small subunit ribosomal RNA", at positions 386 to 885 of the family's 1533-position model. The record is from RNAcentral.